UACGAAGGGGGCAAGCGUUGUUCGGAAUCACUGGGCUUAAAGCGCGUGUAGGCGGCGCGAUAAGUGUUCUGUGAAAUCCCACGGCUCACCCGUGGAACUGCAGGGCAUACUGUCGUGCUUGAGGCAGGUAGGGGCCACUGGAACUCUCGGUGGAACGGUGAAAUGUGUAGAUAUCGAGAGGAACGCCCGAGGCGAAAGCGGGUGGCUGGGCCUGUCCUGACGCUGAGACGCGAAAGCGUGGGGAGCAAACGGG
Molecule: ribosomal RNA, 253 nt
Filed under: uncultured bacterium
Lineage: Bacteria
Description: partial 16S ribosomal RNA
Rfam family: Bacterial small subunit ribosomal RNA
Source: RNAcentral